Molecule: ribosomal RNA, 250 nt
Filed under: uncultured bacterium
Lineage: Bacteria
Description: partial 16S ribosomal RNA
Rfam family: Bacterial small subunit ribosomal RNA
Source: RNAcentral
GUUGGGUGGCGGACGGGUGAGUAACGCGUGAAGAACUUGCCUCAUAGACUGGGACAACUAUUAGAAAUGAUAGCUAAUACCGGAUAGUAUCUUUUCAUGGCAUCAUGAGGAGAUGAAAGCUAUAUGCGCUAUGAGAGGGCUUCGCGUCCCAUUAGCUAGUUGGUAGUGUAAUGGACUACCAAGGUAACGAUGGGUAGCCGGCUUGAGAGAGUGGACGGCCACAAGGGGACUGAGACACGGCCCUUACUCC